Molecule: long non-coding RNA, 785 nt
Organism: Dermochelys coriacea (leatherback sea turtle)
Lineage: Eukaryota; Metazoa; Chordata; Testudines; Dermochelyidae
Exons: 4
Source: RefSeq, a predicted model, not a curated record
AGAUGAUCCUGAGUGCGAGAUCUCAUCUGUGGAUGGUUUAUCUUGCAUACAUAUAUUGUCUACAAAAAGGCAUCCAAGGUUCCUCAUGAUCUAUCUACAGAGCAAUUGCUAGAUAUUAACCCUUUGGACACUGGCCAAGCAGAUACCAACUGGGAACCAGCUGUUUUAAAAUUAUAGUUCUACUCUGAAAAACAUGUUCACUCUUGGUGCUAAAUGAGAAAAUAUGACAAAGCAGGAGAGUGAAGAAUACAUCAAAGCCCAAACACAUCCCUGUUUGACACCACUGAAGGACUGCAGUUUCUCUGAUUCCCACUCAGCUAUUUUAGUCGAACGGUUUAAGCUGCUGAUACUUUUGAGAAUAAAUGGACAGGACAGUCAACUUCUGCACCUUCAACCAGAUCUUCAGCUGGUGAAAAUCACCACAACAUUAUUGAAGUCAGUGGAGCUAUACAUUUUAUGAGCUAUGGAUCUAGCUCUUUGAAAUUUUUCUUCCUCUAACAAAGUGCCUUUAUAACCAUUCGUAUCUUCUUGGCAAGGAUCUGCAGGAGAUAAGGAAGGUCAAUGAGAUUCACUUGUUUGGAAGACAAAAGCAGUGAUCAAGAUGCAGUUUUAUCAGAGAUGACAAAAACAAGUAGGGAAAAUAGAGAAAGAAAUCUCUUCUCUGUAAUCUAGUAAGGCCAAACAGGCAACAUUUGAAGGAAAAUGGUGUUUCAUAUAAUCACUCAGGCAUUACAAAUGUAUAAUAUGGAAUGAGUUAUUUUAUCUCGAGGGAUUAAAAAUUUCUA